UCAAGCGACCAAGGGCAUAAGGUGAAUGCCUUGGCACUGAGAGCCGAAGAAGGACGUGAUAAGCUGCGAAAAGUCUCGGGGAGGAGCAAAUAUCCAUUGAUCCGUGAAUAUCCGAAUGGGGAAACCCACUUGAGCAAACCUCAAGUAUCUUGUUGUGAAUACAUAGCAACAAGAGGGAAUAGUUGGUGAACUGAAACAUCUAAGUAGCCAGACGAAAAGAAAGAAAAAAUUCGAUUUUCAAAGUAGCGGCGAGCGAAAUGGAAAGAGCCCAAAUUAAGUCAAGGGAGAAGAAGGAUAGUAGAAUGGUAUGGGAAGACCAACCGAAGAAAGUGAAAGUCUUGUAAACGAAAUCCAACUGAUUCUGGCUUAGAAAGAGUAGCAUGGGACACGAGAAAUCCUGUGUGAAUAUAGGGGGACCACCCCCUAAGGCUAAAUACUACUCAGUGACCGAUAGAGAAUAGUACCGUGAGGGAAAGGUGAAAAGAACCCCGGGAGGGGAGUGAAAUAGAACCUGAAACCUUAUGCCUACAAGCAGAUAGAGUCUUAAGAGAGAUGAUAUCGUACUUUUUGUAGAACGGGCCAGCGAGUUAUGGUGUGCGGCAAGGUUAAGUAAUGAAGUUACGGAGCCGUAGGGAAACCGAGUCUGAAUAGGGCGAGAUAGUCGUAUGCCAUAGACCCGAAACCAGGUGAUCUAUCCAUGAGCAGGUUGAAGUGAAAGUAAAAUUUCAUGGAGGACCGAACCGGGUAGCGUUUAAAAGCUAUCGGAUGACUUGUGGAUAGGGGUGAAAAGCCAAUCGAACUUGGAGAUAGCUGGUUCUCCUCGAAAUAGCUUUAGGGCUAGCCUCAAUUUAGUUUACAGGGGGUAGAGCACUGAAUACCGUAGGGGUGUUAGACAUUACCGAAAGUUAUCAAACUGCGAAUACCUGAUAAAUGAUGAUUGGGAGUCAGACUAUGUGGGAUAAGCUUCAUAGUCAAAAGGGAAAGAGCCCAGACCACCAGCUAAGGUCCCUAAAUAUAGAUUAAGUGGUAAAGGAUGUUUUACUACUUAGACAACCAGGAUGUUGGCUUAGAAGCAGCCAUACAUUUAAAGAGUGCGUAAUAGCUCACUGGUCAAGUGGUAGAGCGCCGAAAAUGAACGGGGCUAAAAUCUAAUACCGAAGCUGUGGACUAAUGAAAAUUAGUGGUAGAGGAGCAUUGUGUAAGGGGCGAAGCUAAGUUGGAAGACGAAGUGGACUUUACAGAAGAGAGAAUGCUGGCAUGAGUAGCGAAAAGGAGGGUGAGAAUCCCUCCCGUCGAAAGCCUAAGGAUUCCUGAGGAAGGCUCGUCCUCUCAGGGUAAGUCGGGACCUAAGCCCAGGCUGAAAAGCGUAAGCGAUGGACAACAGGUUGAGAUUCCUGUACUAUCUUUGAAUGUUUGAGAGAUGUACUGACGCAGGAGGAUAUGUUGAGCGUGUGAAUGGUAGAGCACGUCUAAGCAAGUAGGUAGAGAAUAGAGGCAAAUCCCUAUUCUUAAUAUCGAGAUGCGAUGGGGAGCGAAAAAUAAGUAGUGAAGCAACAGAUUCCAAACUGCCAAGAAAAGGUACUAUUGAGUGAGAAGAUACCCGUACCAAAACCGACACAGGUAGGCAAGGAGAGAAUCCUAAGACGCGCGGAAGAACCUUUGUUAAGGAACUCGGCAAAAUGACCCCGUAACUUCGGGAGAAGGGGUACCAUUAGAUGUGAAGUACUUACGUAUGGAGCAUAGAGUGGUCGCAGAGAAUAGGCCCAAGCAACUGUUUACCAAAAACACAAGUCUCUGCUAAAUCGAAAGAUGAAGUAUAGGGGCUGACACCUGCCCGGUGCUGGAAGGUUAAGGGGAAAUGUUAGAGCAAUCGAAGCAUAGAACUUAAGCCCCAGUAAACGGCGGCCGUAACUAUAACGGUCCUAAGGUAGCGAAAUUCCUUGUCGGGUAAGUUCCGACCCGCACGAAAGGUGUAAUGAUUUGGGCACUGUCUCAACAAAGGAUCCGGUGAAAUUGUAGUAGUCGUGAAGAUGCGACUUACCCACGAUAGGACGGAAAGACCCCGUGGAGCUUUACUGUAGGCUGGCAUUGGAAUUUGGUAUUAAAUGUACAGGAUAGGUGGGAGACAUUGAAGCGAGAGCGCCAGUUUUCGUGGAGUCAACGUUGGGAUACCACUCUUUUGAUACUAAAUUUCUAACUUGAUACUCUGAAGCGAGUAUAAGGACACUGUCAGUUGGGCAGUUUGACUGGGGCGGUCGCCUCCUAAAGAGUAACGGAGGCGUUCAAAGG
This 2289-nucleotide ribosomal RNA is filed under the name human metagenome. RNAcentral's name for it is "bacterial LSU rRNA". It matches the Rfam family "Bacterial large subunit ribosomal RNA", at positions 3 to 2316 of the family's 2925-position model. The record is from RNAcentral.